RNAcentral lists this ribosomal RNA (425 nucleotides) under uncultured bacterium. RNAcentral describes it as "partial 16S ribosomal RNA". It matches the Rfam family "Bacterial small subunit ribosomal RNA", at positions 354 to 796 of the family's 1533-position model. The record is from RNAcentral.
GUGGGGAAUCUUGCGCAAUGGGCGAAAGCCUGACGCAGCCAUGCCGCGUGAAUGAUGAAGGUCUUAGGAUUGUAAAAUUCUUUCACCGGGGACGAUAAUGACGGUACCCGGAGAAGAAGCCCCGGCUAACUUCGUGCCAGCAGCCGCGGUAAUACGAAGGGGGCUAGCGUUGCUCGGAAUUACUGGGCGUAAAGGGCGCGUAGGCGGACAGUUUAGUCAGAGGUGAAAGCCCAGGGCUCAACCUUGGAAUUGCCUUUGAUACUGGCUGUCUUGAGUACGGGAGAGGUGAGUGGAACUCCGAGUGUAGAGGUGAAAUUCGUAGAUAGUCGGAAGAACACCAGUGGCGAAGGCGACUCACUGGCCCGUUACUGACGCUGAGGCGCGAAAGCGUGGGGAGCAAACAGGAUUAGAAACCCGUGUAGUCC